CGAACGGGUGAGUAACGCGUGAGGAACCUGCCUCAAAGAGGGGGACAACAGUUGGAAACGACGGCUAAUACCGCAUAAGCCCACGGCUCGGCAUCGAGCAGAGGGAAAAGGAGUGAUCCGCUUUGAGAUGGCCUCGCGUCCGAUUAGCUGGUUGGUGAGGUAACGGCCCACCAAGGCGACGAUCGGUAGCCGGACUGAGAGGUUGAACGGCCACAUUGGGACUGAGACACGGCCCAG
RNAcentral lists this ribosomal RNA (237 nucleotides) under uncultured bacterium. RNAcentral's name for it is "partial 16S ribosomal RNA". It matches the Rfam family "Bacterial small subunit ribosomal RNA", at positions 99 to 334 of the family's 1533-position model. The record is from RNAcentral.